UGUCGGUGUCGGUAGCCUCUGUCGAGGUGGAAGGUUAGUCCGAUCUAAUUCCGAGAUUUGACUGACUACUGCGUGAGAAGUAUUCCUGAAACAAUAGCGAAGGUGCAAACGUCUCUCCUCCUGGAGCAAGGCUUAUUACGUCGAGGGUGCCUCUUCUUGACGAGGUCAAGAUUCCUGUGAUACUGGAGUUAAGAAGAUUUUGAGAUGGAUUAAUGUGUAAUAGAAAGAUAGAUAAUAUAACCUGAUGCAACAUCAACCCCCUCUUUGGAAUCGAAACGCCCUGUGACCGUAAGCCGUCAUGGAAUAUGACGGAUUUUUGUUCCAUACCAUCGUCAAUCGAUCAUAAGAUCGAUUGGGUGCAUCAUGAUUAGUCCCAGAAAUCACCAUUACAGCAAAUCCUCACCCGUUAAGCCAAUCAUUAAUUAAUUUACGAUUGGUGGGACAUGCAGUGGUCCUGCUCUCAUUGAUUCUUAAUUCAAUGUAACCGUUAUUAUUAAAUAUCUUAUUUAAUAAUAAUAUAAUCGUUCUCAUUCAAAUUCAUAAUUCAUUAUUAUUAAUUUUUUUAUUUAUUAUGGUUUAAAUGAUUUCAGUUUUUUAUUCAUUAUACAUGAAAUUAUUAUUAUUAAAUUAAAUAUUUAAUGUCAUUAAAAUUCUUUAUUAUAAUCCAAACGUUAUAAAUUUGAAUUAAUUCUUGAACAUUAUGAGUUGGUGAUAAUAAAUAUUCUUGAUGAGAGAACAUCUAUAUAUAUGAGAAUUUUGGUCCUUGGGCUUAAUCAUUUCUUUAAAAUUUCCUACACCAUCUAAAGCAAGAGUUUUGAGCCGAGAAAUGCCAAAGUUCAAGAAGAAACCUCUGCAAAAAUUCUUGACAACAAUGGCUGGAGAUACGCUACUUUGUUUCCGCAUCAGUUUUUAUUGUGUUUCUAUUAUAAUGAUUUAGAAACACAAGUUGGCUUCAAUGAUUUCUUACAUUUGGUAUCAGAGCCUUUUGACCUCUGCCUUGAUACGAAAUAGUUUUCAUUUCUUUUUGUCAUGAAAAUGAUUUGAUUUUGGUUUCUUCUUGGAAACUUCUUGAUAUAUUUUGUUGAAAAUCAUGAGGAAAUAUCAUUUUCAAUAUUUUAGUUGAUAAAAUGUUCAUAUUAUGUAUGCAUAUUUAGUUAUAUAAAAUUAUGCUUAUGAGUCAAUUUUUUAUGUUUAAAAUGUCUAGUGAUCCAUAUAAUCUUAAUUAAUUAAAAAUUAGUCACAGCAUCCUUAAUUAAUUAAAAUUAUAUAUAAAGUUAAAAAUAAGGAUCACAUAAGUAAUUAGAUAUCAUAUUGUGACUGAUUAUAUUUCAUAUAAUAAUUAUUAUCUCAUAGGAUCUUUUAUUAUAUUUAAUAUAAUUAAUCAAGAUAAAAUAUCAUAUUAUUUUUAUAAUUUACCCAUAGGGAUUAUGAAUUGAAAUAUAAUUUGAUAGUUUUAUCAUAAAGACCAUUUGAAUCUAUUUGAAUUAAGAAUUUAGCCCACAGGCAAUUUUUAUGUCAUGAGAUUCAUAUUUUUUGGCAUGUUUCACAUUAGUAAAACAUGUAAUUUAGACUAUUAAACUUCAAAUUUUAACAUAAGCAUGUAAUUUUCAAUCGGCUCAGCGUGAUAUUUAUCAAAACUAAGAUAACUGCUAGCAUACGUGGUUCUGUUGACCAGCAUAAAAAUGUCCGAGACUUGCUAAAAUCUAGUACGUGAGCAUAUAAUACAAAUGCGAGAUAUUGUGGCUCAACUUAAGAAACUCGAUAUUAAUAUGUCAAAAUCCGUCCUGAUGUACUAUAUUCUGAACACCCUUCUACCUCAAUAUGACCCUUUUAAAAUUUCAUACAAUACACAUAAGAACAAAUGAUCAAUCAAUGAAUUAAUGAUCAUGUGUGUUCAAGAAGAAGAGAGGCUAAUGAUGGAAUUGGGUGAGAGUGCAUUUGUGGUAACCACUCACGGAAAGAACAAAACUAACAAACAUCAAACCAAUCAGAAAGCUCAUCAGUAGGUAAAAGGUAAAAUACCACCCCAAGCUGAUAUCAAGAAAGAAGCAAGAUGUUUCUUUUGUAAAUGAGAGGGACACAUGAAGAAGGAAUGCAUGAAAUUCUAAUAAUGGCUUAAAAAGAAAGGUAAACCAACCUCAUUUGUAUGUUAUGAAUUUAAUAUGGUCAAUAUUAAUAUUAACACCUAGUAGAUUGACUCUGGAUCAACAAUUCAUAUUACAAACUCUUUACAGGGCAUUCAAAACCUAAGGAAGUCAGUGGGAAGUGAGCAAAGCAUCUUAUCAGGAAAUAAUGACUUAAAAAGAAAGGUAAACCAACCUCAUUUGUGUGUUAUGAAUUUAUUAUGGUUAAUAUUAAUAUUAACACAUAGUAGAAUGACUCUGGAUCAACAAUUCAUAUUACAAACUCUUUACAGGACAUUCAAAACCUAAGGAAGUCAGUGGGAAGUGAGCAAAGCAUCUUAUCAGGAAAUAAGAUGGGCUCACAUAUGGAGGCAAUUGGAACAUGCAUUUUAACUUUAAGUAGUGGUUUUGUUUUAAAAUUGGAAAUGACCUUUUAUGUACCAAGUUUCUUACGAAACUUAAUUUCUGUUUCCAGACUCGUACCAUUUGGGUAUUCCUUUAAUUUUAAAGACAUAUUAUUUCGUUUAUUAUAUAAAUCUGGUUGUAUUGGGAAUGGUAUUUUGUCUGAUGGUCUUUACUGUAUUUUAUUAUAAAGUGAUAAUACUCAAAAUUCAAUGCAUAUUCACGCUGGCAUUAAGAGGUGCAAUAUUAAUGAGGNNNNNNNNNNNNNNNNNNNNAAACUUAAUUUCUGUUUCCAGACUCGUACCAUUUGGGUAUUCCUUUAAUUUUAAAGACAUAUUAUUUCGUUUAUUAUAUAAAUCUGGUUGUAUUGGGAAUGGUAUUUUGUCUGAUGGUCUUUACUGUAUUUUAUUAUAAAGUGAUAAUACUCAAAAUUCAAUGCAUAUUCACGCUGGCAUUAAGAGGUGCAAUAUUAAUGAGGACUCCUCUAUAUUAUGGCAUCGGAGAUUAGGACAUAUCUUCAUAGAGAGAAUUAAGAGAUUAUUUUAAAAUGGGGUACUUAGUACUCUUGAUUUUACUAAUUUUAAGACUUGUGUGGACUGUAUUAAGGGAAAGCAGACCAAUAAGUCCAAAAAGGGUGCUAAUAGGAGUUCAGACUUAUUAGAGAUAAUUCAUACUAAUAUAUGUUGUCCAGACAUAGACAUACAUGGUCUAAAAUAUUUCAUCUCUUUUAUAGAUGAUUACUCAUGAUAUAUGUAUAUAUAUUUGCUUCAUAACAAAAAUGAAGCAUUGGAUGUCUUCAAAGUCUUUAAGGCUAAAGUUGAGAAUCAAUGUGGUAAGCAAAUUAAAAUUGUGAGAUCAGAUAGAGGUGGAGAAUAUUAUGGUAGAUAUACUGAAAAUGGACAAGCACCUGGUCCUUUUGCUAAGUUUCUUCAAGAACAUGGGAUUGUUGCUCAAUACAUUAUGCCUAGUUCUUUAUAACAGAAUGGUUUUGCAUAAAGAAGAAACCGAACAUUAUUAGACAUGGUGCGGAGUAUGCUUAGCAACUCCAAUCUUCCUAAGUUCUUGUGGACUGAAGCACUAAAGACGACUAUGUAUAUAUUAAAGCGAGUUCCAACUAAGGUUGUCAAAAAGACACCAUUUAAAUUAUGAAAAUAUUGAAAACCGAGUUUGCGACAUAUGCGCGUUUGGGGAUGUCCAUCUGAAGUCAGGAUAUAUAAUCCACAAGAGAAUAAACUGGAUCUGAGAACUAUUAGUAGGUAUUUCAUUGCAUAUGCCGAAAAGUCUAAAGGUUACAAUUUCUAUUGUUCAUCUCACACAACUAGGAUUGUGGAAUCAAGAAAUGCUAAAUUUCUUAAGAAUGAUGUGAUUAGUGGGAGCGAUCAUUUCAGGAACAUAGUUUCUACACAUGAUCAUAUAUAAUCUCAACCUUCCACAUCAAAUGAUAGAUUGAUUAUAGUUCAUAGCACUCUUGAAGUACAAACUAGUGCUGAACAACCAAUCAUUGAAAUUUCACAAGUUGUUGAUAGUAUUCUAAUAGAUCAAGUAGUUCAGGAAUUACAACAAGCUCCUGAACAAAAGCUCCUGAACUACUAAUUGAACCACAAGUUCCACAUUACAACAUUAAGAAGAUCUACUAGAAAUAAAAGAUUAACAAUUCCUAAUGAUUAUGUUGUAUAUCUACAAGAAUCUGACUAUAAUAUUGGAGCCAAAAAUGAUCCUGAAAUAUUUUCACAAGCCAUGAGUUGCAAAGAAUCAAAUUUGUGGCAUGAUGCUAUGAAAGAAGAGAUGAAUUCCAUGAUGAGCAAUGGAGUCUAGGAUCUUGUAGAGUUGCCUAAUGAAGUAAAGGCUAUUGGUUGCAAAUGGGUCUUUAAAACUAAGAAAGAAUCGUUAGGCAACAUUGAGAGAUACAAAGCAAGACUUAUUACAAAGGGAUUUACUCAAAAGGAGGGAAUCGAUUAUACAAAGAUGUUUUCUCCUAUAUCUAAGAAAGAUUCUCUGCGUAUUAUUUUGACAUUAGUUGCUCAUUUUGACCUUAAGUUACAACAAAUGGAUGUGAAAAUAAUAUUUCUUAAUGGAGAUCUAGAGGAAGAGGUUUAUAUGAAACAACCCGAAGGUUUCUCCUCUAGUGUUGGUGAGCACUUGGUUUGCAAGUUUAGGAAGUCUGUAUACGGCUUAAAACAAGCCUCCUGCCAAUGGUAUUUUAAAUUCUAUGAAGUGAUUUCUUCAUUUGGAUUUGUUGAAAAUCUCAUGGAUCAAUGCAUAUACCAGAAGGUUAGUGGGAGUAAAAUAUGUUUCCUUGUUUUAUACGUAGAUGAUAUUUUGCUUGCAACCAACGAUAAGGAUUUGCUGAGAUAAAAUAAUUCCUUUCUAAAAAUUUUGACAUGAAAGAUAUGGGUGAAGCAUCUUAUGUCAUUGGCAUUAAGAUCCAUAGAGAUAGACCUCGAGGUAUUUUAGGUCUAUCAUAAGAAACCUAUAUCGAUAAACUUUUAGAAAGAUUUCGGAUGAAGGAUUGUUCAUCAAUGUUGCUCCUAUUAUGAAAAGUGAUAGGUUCAAUUUGAACCAAUGUCCAAAGAACAACCUUGAAAGGGAAUCAAUGAAAAACAUUUUAUAUAUUUCUGCUAUAGGAAGCCUUAUGUAUGCUCAGGUUUAUACUAGACCUGAUAUUGUAUUUAUUGUGGGGAUGCUAGGUCGAUAUCAGAGUAAUCCAGGUAUGGACUACUAGAGAGCUGCAAAGAAAGUGAUGAGGUAUCUACAAGGAACCAAAUAUUACAUACUUAUGUAUAGACAUAUAGACAAUCUGGAUGUGAUUGAUUACUCAGAUUCAGACUUCGUUGGUUUGUGUUGAUUCUCGUAAAUCAACAUCAAUGACCGGUGGAGCUAUUUCUUGGAGAAGCACCAAGCAGACCUUGACUGCUACUUCUACCAUGGAAGUUGAGUUCGUCUCCUGUUUUGAGGCUACUUCACAUGGUGUAUGGCUUAAAAUCAUGGAUUCUAUUUCUAGGCCAUUAAGAAUUUUCUGUGAUAAUUCAACUGUUGUCUUUAUGGCUAAAAAUAAUAAAAGUGAAAGUCGAAGCAAACACAUCGACAUUAAGUAUUUAGCCUUAAGAGAAUGUGUAAAAGAAAAGAAAGUGGUCAUUGAGCAUAUUAGUACUGAAUUGAUGAUUUCUGAUCCUUUGACUAAAGAUAUGCCACCUCUGAAAUUCAAGAAUCAUGUAGAGAAAAUGGGACUUGGUUCCACUUUGUAAUGAUAUUGAAACUCUUAUAUAUUAUGAUAUUUUCUUAUUCAUGUGCAUAUUAUUUUGAGAAAAUAUAUUGUUAUUGGACCAAGAAUAAACAUAAGAUUUAUUCAUUAAGUAAUAUUACCACAUUGAGAUUAAGAAACUAAAUACAUCAUAAUACAUGAAUGAUAAUACUCGUUUUUAGAGGACUUAUCGCUAUGAUUCAUGUAUUUAUUUGUUAAGAAAGUUGUUGGAGAAAGAUUAAUUCAAAUUAUUAAGAUAAACGUAUGGAUCAAAGUGGGAGAAUGUAAUUGUUAUUAUUAAAUAUCUUAUUUAAUAAUAAUAUAACCGUUCUCAUUAAUAUUCAUAAUUUAUUAUCAUGAAUUUCUUCAUUUAUUAUGGUUUAAAUGAUUUCAAUUUUUUAUUCAUUAUACAUGAAACCGUUAUUAUUAAAUUAAAUAUUUAAUAUCAUUAAAAUUUUUUAUUAGGAUCCAAACGUUAUAAAUUCGAAUUAAUUCUNNNNNNNNNNNNNNNNNNNNNNNNNNNNNNNNNNNNNNNNNNNNNNNNNNNNNNNNNNNNNNNNNNNNNNNNNNNNNNNNNNNNNNNNNNNNNNNNNNNNNNNNNNNNNNNNNNNNNNNNNNNNNNNNNNNNNNNNNNNNNNNNNNNNNNNNNNNNNNNNNNNNNNNNNNNNNNNNNNNNNNNNNNNNNNNNNNNNNNNNNNNNNNNNNNNNNNNNNNNNNNNNNNNNNNNNNNNNNNNNNNNNNNNNNNNNNNNNNNNNNNNNNNNNNNNNNNNNNNNNNNNNNNNNNNNNNNNNNNNNNNNNNNNNNNNNNNNNNNNNNNNNNNNNNNNNNNNNNNNNNNNNNNNNNNNNNNNNNNNNNNNNNNNNNNNNNNNNNNNNNNNNNNNNNNNNNNNNNNNNNNNNNNNNNNNNNNNNNNNNNNNNNNNNNNNNNNNNNNNNNNNNNNNNNNNNNNNNNNNNNNNNNNNNNNNNNNNNNNNNNNNNNNNNNNNNNNNNNNNNNNNNNNNNNNNNNNNNNNNNNNNNNNNNNNNNNNNNNNNNNNNNNNNNNNNNNNNNNNNNNNNNNNNNNNNNNNNNNNNNNNNNNNNNNNNNNNNNNNNNNNNNNNNNNNNNNNNNNNNNNNNNNNNNNNNNNNNNNNNNNNNNNNNNNNNNNNNNNNNNNNNNNNNNNNNNNNNNNNNNNNNNNNNNNNNNNNNNNNNNNNNNNNNNNNNNNNNNNNNNNNNNNNNNNNNNNNNNNNNNNNNNNNNNNNNNNNNNNNNNNNNNNNNNNNNNNNNNNNNNNNNNNNNNNNNNNNNNNNNNNNNNNNNNNNNNNNNNNNNNNNNNNNNNNNNNNNNNNNNNNNNNNNNNNNNNNNNNNNNNNNNNNNNNNNNNNNNNNNNNNNNNNNNNNNNNNNNNNNNNNNNNNNNNNNNNNNNNNNNNNNNNNNNNNNNNNNNNNNNNNNNNNNNNNNNNNNNNNNNNNNNNNNNNNNNNNNNNNNNNNNNNNNNNNNNNNNNNNNNNNNNNNNNNNNNNNNNNNNNNNNNNNNNNNNNNNNNNNNNNNNNNNNNNNNNNNNNNNNNNNNNNNNNNNNNNNNNNNNNNNNNNNNNNNNNNNNNNNNNNNNNNNNNNNNNNNNAAAAAAGAUUUUCGUAUCAAUUUUUAUUGUGUUUCUAUUAUAAUAAUUUAGAAACACAAGUUAACUUCAAUUAUUUCUAGUAGACAGCACCCAUGAUGCAAUGGCACAGACAGCUUUGCAGCCAUGUAAUGUGUAUCUCUGAAGCGUUACAGCAAAUGACCAAAACCACAAACAAUUAAACGACGUUCCUAAAAAAGACCAAUUCUCACAGUUUAAGACAAAUAUAAUAAUAAUAAUACAUGACAUGGUAAACGAUUUAGGUAGACAAAUUGUUUCUUUAACUAACUAAACAUUUCUCUUCGAGUUUGUGCUCUCUCUUCUCACACUUCCUUUCUGGCCCCCGUCAAUUACCUCUUCGACGAUGGGCUCAACCAUUGUAUCCACGUUCUUGACUACUCCAUCAACCUAGAGACAUAAUAUACCACCACAUAAUGGACCAUGUCACACUCUUGCGUGCAUCCAAGAAAGAAACGUGUUAGAUCAUAUAAAUUACCUUCUCGAUCAAGGUUUCUGCGAGUUCUGCAUCCUUGAUCACGACUUCAGCAACGUGCUCCACCUCCAAAGCUAUCUUCUUUAGCUCCGAAUUCUCCGGCAGCACCUCGGCCACCUCCAACGAUACCUUUUCGGUCACCUCAGCCACCUUCUCCACCACCCCAAGUAUCGCCUCCGCCGUCUUCUCCGCUUUCUCUGACACACACGGUUUAGUUACUGUGAGCCGGAGAAGUUUGUGAGAUGUGAAUAAUCAUGUCAACCUUUCUUUCAAGUCCCGCAUGCGUUACCUUCGAUCCCUAAAACCUUCCUGUAGAACGGUAAAGCCAAGAGGACUACCGAGCCCAGAGCCCAUCUCGCCCUGCAGGAAUCACAAAAGCUUACAAGUGGAGAAAAGAAGAACAUGUAUCCGCAGCCAUUGUCCAAGGCAACGAUGAUCGAUACCAUAUGGGUAUGUCUGGGAACGGAAGAUUAGGUAGGCCUGGAACACCGUCAGAUCUCUUUUUCCUGCAGAGUUGGCAUCAAUGAAUCAUCACGCUACGGGAAAAAAAAAAAAAAAAAGGAAGAAGAACGGUGAUGAUGUUGACGGAGCGCGUACUUGGCGUCUUCGUUGGCCGGCGCAGCAUCGUCGUCGCUGCCGGCGGGGGCUGGAGGUUGCGUCGCCGCCCGGACAACCACCGCCCGGUGUGCAUGGAAGAAGGUGCAGAAGCCGAUGACGCGGUAGGAAACGGCGAGGCGACGGUGAGCGGUGUAGACGGGGAAGUGGGGGCUGGAGGGCAUGGGAGAGAAGAGGGAACCCGCCAUUGUUGUCCCGAUCGCCUUCUUCGCUUGGGCGCAGGAAGAUGUAGGAUGUUCGAUGAGCAUAUUUCAGUCAUGUGUGUAGAGCUCUUAUACACAUACAAGAAGGAGAAGGAGAAGGAGACCAAUAAUGCAACAUGCAACACGUUUGACCGAGUGAAGCAGCCACAAUAAUUGACGCUGAAGAUAAUGAUUUGAUGAUUAAAAAUCUCUCAAAAAAAUUAAAGAUGUUUGGGAAAAAGGCUUAUAUAAAUAAUAAAUACAUAAGUCUGAAAAAUGAGUUUGAAUUUUAAAACAUUUAUCAUGCAAAGAUAUCCAUAAUAUUCUUAUAUUCCUGACUAUAAAAUGACUGUCACCCAAAAAAGAUCACUUGCAAGGCUAUCUAUGUACGUAAGAUUUAAAAUAUUAGAAAAAUAAUUACAAAAAUCAUUGUGAUCUGUAGGAUCUUUGUUUUUUUUUUCCUGCAUGCAAAUCACAUGCGAAGCCUACAAUAAGUGAUCUGACGACGUGUGGCCUACAAAAGCAUAACCUUUCACAGGAGGAGUUAAUGUGAAGAAGACGGGAAUUGAAUGCAUCGAAUAGACAAAAGCUGCAUAUUCCAGCAGUUUGGCUGAACCCUAAUGACCAUAAGACAACUCACAUGUGGUUGGGUUAUAUAAUAAUAGUGGGGUUAGCGUGUGGGUGUAGGAAACCCACUAUGACACAAAAACGAGCAUCGCCAAUUUUAAAUUGGGGUCUUCUAUAUAAUGUAACGUAGCAUAUUAUAUAUAUCUAACAUGGGUUGUUGAUAUAUGCUACCGAGUGUAUGAAUUGGAAAGGUGGGAAGAGAUGAGAUACUUUGUGAAUUAUUAUUAUUAUUAUUAUUGCGACGUAUAUAUUUUGGCAAGAGAAAUAUAACUAUGAUAUGCAAGCCUAUGAACAACUCAGUUGAGUCCAAAUACUAGAUUUAAGGUGGAUGACCAAUAUAAAGAUGUGAAAUUAACAGGAUUUAAAGGUUACAUGAUUUCAAGAAACUACAUAUAUGAUUUUAAUUUCCGCACAUUGGUUCUAAAUUAUGGAAUGAAAAUGCCCUUCUUAGGUAGCGUUAGACGAGAUUCCACAUAUGUGAAAUCGAAAUAAAAAAAUUUAAAUGAUUCUACCAAGAUUUAAAUCUGGGUCUAACUACUAUAAAAUAAAAUUCACUUUUUUUUCUUUUUUUAGUAAGUUCAAAGUUGAACAAAAAUUAUUUUUUUAAAAAUUAAUAUUAUCAGAAAAAAAAAGUCAUUGACAUUUUGGUCAGUCCGACGUAGUCUGAACCCAUAUUCGUAAGAUUGUCCAAUGUGCCUCCGAAGUGGAAGCAUCGAGCUCUCGAGGUGUUUUCUGCAUGAACAUCGAGGUCGAGAGAGGUUUCUUGACACGAACCCUCCGAUACUCAAAUAGUAACCUAAAAUGAAUGCAGGCAUAAAUAGUCAAAAGAAGUUAGGAAAAGACCCCCUGUUAUUACGUUGGAUAUGCACUUUUAUACCUGGCCUUAGAAGAGGACAACCUCUAACCACCCUAACAUCCUCUUCUUGGUGUUUUGUCCACAUGGGUGACUAAGGGAGGAGACAACCUCAUAUUGCCUUUCUUAGACUUUUGUCCAUACGAGCAGAUAGGUGGGAGAUGAUUUGGAUCUUUUCCUUCCACCAAGGACUUCACGUGGCGGCCACGUGUCAGAUGGUGAUUGACUGAUAGUAUAUUCCCUAUCAUUUAUCUUUCCCUAAGUGUGCUUAGGGGGCUCUUGCUAGAGGAGUCUGAAGUGUGGUGUUUAGUUCAUCCGAUACAAGUGCGUUCGGGAUCUCCUCAUGCGGGUUGGAUUUCCCGACUCAUAUGCCUUGGCUACAUUAGCCAUAUGACUAUACUAUAGUAGAUUCUUUUUUCGUGAGUCGGGUUUUCCUAAUUUACAUGCCUUGGGCACAUUUGGUCUUGCGCCUCCAUGUGAUGGAUUUCCCUUCACCUGGGUUAGGUUUUCUUGACUCAUGCACCUUAGGCACAUUUGACCUUAUACAUAUACCAUGGCAUAUUUCUCCUUACGCAAGUCAGGUUUUCCUGACUCAUAUGCAUUAGACAUAUUUUACCUUAUGUCUCCACCGUGUGGAUUUAUCCUCAUGUGGGUUCGGGUUUUCAAACUCAUAUGCAUCGGGCACAUUUGGUCUUGCGUUUUCACUGUGGUAGAUUUUUCUUUAUAUGGGUUGGGUUUUCAUGACUCAUGCAUCUUGGGCAUAUUUGACCUUUUGCCUCUACUGUGGUAUAUUUAUCCUUAUGCUGAUCGAGUUUUUCCUACUCACAUGCCUCAAACAUAUUUUACUUUGCGCCUCCGUCGUAAUAAAUUUCUCCUCAUGCGAGUCGAGUUUUUUGAACUUAUGUGCCUGAAGCACAUUUGAUCUUGUGCCUUUGUUGUGAUGGAUUUUAAAGGAAGACGUAUGUAAAUAUAUAGUUUAAAUAACACAUAUAAAUAAUACCCAAAAUUAUUUAGGAUGGUGUAACAUGAAGAUGGUCGCUAAUAGCAUCAUGAUCAAUUGUUGCCAUGUUGUUGGAAGAAAAAAACAAUAAUGUAAUCGACCGUAAAUUGUGAAUAUAUUACAUACAUAAAAUAAUGACAUCCAAUCCCGUCUCAGUAAUAUUAGAAAAAAAAAUUUCGAUUAAUUUUUAGUAGUCAAUGUAUGCCAUGUGCUUAUACGAGUAGGAAAACUAUUGACUUCACGUGAUGCAUGUGAUCUUAGCACAUUUUGUGGUGUUGUAUUUCUUAUGAAUGCCCAUUCAAAUGACUGAAUUAUACGACAGGCUGUAAGUAUAUAUUUAUCAUUUUAUGUCAUAAAUGUAAAGAUAUUUAGAUAAUUUAUCGGAAAAAAAAAUAUACUAUUUGAGUUUGUACGGAAAUGUCAUCUCCUAUUCAUUUUUACCUACGGAUGUCAUUAUUCUCUAAUUUGACUAAAAUAAUGAUAUCUUAAAAUGCUUGAAUCAAAUUCUUUUUUUUUUUACCACCCUCCUCCUCGUUUGUUUCCUCUCACUCUUUUUAUCUUUCCAUCAUCGACUUCCUUAUGCUUCUUCUUCUCAUCUUUCGUGUCCUCUUCGACCUCCUGCCUCCUCCUCUCGUCUUUGUCUUCUAAAAAUAUUUCUAAAAUUUAUAAUAUUUUUAAAUAUAUGAAUAAAUAUUGUAAUCAUAUCGAUGUACAAGUUAAAAGUGUUUUAAAUAUAUUUCACCAAAAUAUACUGGAUUUGAUUUGAACCAUAGUCGAUUGUAGAAUCUCAAUUGUAUAGGUUUUGCGAACGAUUAUUAUUUUUAUUUAUUUUCGAGUAUAAUAGGCUCAAGUAGUAAUUUAUGUCAACUUUCACCAUCCUACUAGGAUCUCAUUAUAACAUUAUUAAUAAUAUUUUCUAUAUUUUUAGAGAAUUUUAGGAUAAUUAAUUGUUAAAAUCUAAUUUUUUUAAUUAAGUUCUAUAAAUGAGUAUGUUUUAGUUUAUUUUCUAGUAUAAAAUAGUUAACUUUAACCAAAUCAUAUCAAACAUUAACUAAUCUACAAGGUUAUUAUUUUAACAUAAUUAGUUAUAUAUUUUAUAUUUUAAGAUGAUUUUAUGAUAAUUAAUUAUCAAAAUUUAGAUUUUUUAUAUAGAUUCUAUAAAUGAGUAUAUUUUAAUUUAUUUUAGAGUCUAAUAGGUUCAACUUCAACAAAUCAUAUCAAACUUUCACCAAUAUACUAAGAUAUUAUUCUAACAUCAUUAAUAUAUAUUUAUUUUUUUAAAAAAUAAAGAUAAUUUAUCAUCAAAAUUUAGAUUAUUUUUGAUAAAUUAGUGUAUUUUAGCUUAUUUCCGAGUGUGAUAGUAUCAACAUAAACCAAAUCAUCUCAAACUUUCACCAGUCUACUAUCAUAUUAUUUUAACAUCAGCAGUAAUAUUUUUUUUGAAAAAAUAUUUUAAAAUAAUUAAUUAUCAAAAGUUUGAAUUUUGUUUUAUAAGCAUAUGCAUUUUAGUUUAUUUCAGAGUAUAAUUAGGUCAACUUUGACCAUACCAUCUCAAAAUUUUACCCCUCUACUAGGAUAUGACUAUAACAUCAUUAAUAAUAUUUUUUAAAAAAAAUAUAUAAUUUUAUGACAAUUAAUUAUCAAAAAAAUAAUUUUUUUAAUAUAAAUUCUAUGAAUAGAUAUCAUUUUCAGGUGUAAGAGAGUCAACUUAAAUCAAACCAUCUCAAGUUUUCAGAACAUUAUUCUAACAAUUAAUAAUAAUAUAUAUAUUUUUAUUUUUAGAUAAUUUUAAGAUAAUUAAUUAUAAAAAAAUUAUGCUUUUUUAGAUGAAUACUAUGAACGAGUUUAUUUUAAUUCAUUUUUAAGUAUAAUAAUAGGGUUAAUUUCGACCAAACCAUCUUAUAAAUGUGGUCCCAAAAAAAAAAAUUGUGAACCCACAAAUUUUCGAAAAAAAAUAUAAAUCUUAUUCCAAUUACUUAUGAAUUAAUUUUAAUCAGUCAGGUAUUAAGGUCGGUCAGAGGUGAUUUGCCAACUGGAUUCGAAGUAGUAAUUGUGUUAUGCUAAAUGUAUCUUUAGAACUUAAUUAAUGGAUAUCUUAAUCCAAACUUAAUUAAUUCUAAAAAUAGAUUUAGAAUUGGAAUUGGAGGAUCAAUGAGCUUUCAAACUCAUGAUUUAUUAGGUUGGAUCGAUGCCAUUUCCGAUCUGUAGUAUGAUUAAAGCCGGCUUAAUAAGACUCAGAUCACAAUGCAUUAAGCUAUCUUCUUCAAUUCACCUAAUUUGGUGGGUGUCGGCCAUAACGCCUAAUUGGCUUACCACAUAAUGAAUUAGAUUCGUGUCGCUGUCGGUAUGGUGGUGAGCAAUUCAUUACGCAGUGCGAUCUGUAUCGGGUUUGGUUGCAUCGAGUUGUUGUGCGUCCCUCUCGCUACCCAAACCGAUUAAUGUCUUCUGUCUCUGUAGAUUUCCGCGCUCUGUUGACUGCAGCGAGACUUGCAAGGAGCAGAAGCGCGGGUUGAGAGGAAUCGAAGCCGGUGAUGGCCGUCCGGCCUAAUCGCCUCCUCUUUCGGGCGCCAAACGCCUCCUCCUUAUGUGGAUUCAUGGAGUUGUGCACCCCUCCCCCGCCGCCACCCUCUCCUCCAUCUUCCCCGGGCCCCCCGACCACCAUCCGGUUCCACCACUCCUCCCUCCUCCCCGCCCUCCCCAUCUCCGCCGCCUUCCUCAUCGCCGCCGCCGUCCUCGUUCUCGUCCUCGCCUACUUCGUCUUUCGCCGCCGCCACCACCGCCGCACGGCAGCCCCCGACGUACCCCUCGCCGGUGGACCCCUUGAGGAGGACGGUGGCGGCGACGGCGACGAGGUGAUCCACCAUGUCUGGUACAUCAGGACCGUUGGCCUCGACGAGUCAACCAUCCGGGCCAUCUCCGCGUUGGCGUACAAGGCCGCGGAUGGCGUCCUCGGCGCCUCGGCCUCCGACUGCGCUGUUUGCCUCUCCGAGUUCCGCGAGGACGAGCUCGUUCGCCUCCUUCCCAAGUGCGGCCACGCCUUCCACCUCGGCUGUAUCGACACUUGGCUUCGAUCCCACGUCAAUUGCCCCCUGUGCCGUGCGCCCGUCGUAGUCUCGACCUCCGCAGCCAGCAGUGGCGGUACUGGAACAAGUACCCAUUCUUCUUCUUCUUCUUCUUCUUCCUCCUCCUCCUCCUUCUCCUCCUCCUCCUCCUCCGCCCCUUCAUCCCACCCUGAGUUUAUCCCAGAUCACGUGGACCCCAAUAAUCUCUCCUCGGCCGUAGCGGACAGCGAGCAGAUCAAUGGCCGGCAAUCAGAAUCUGCUCAAGGCGCCUUGGAAGAGGAACCGGAGGUCGAAAGAUUGGAACUUGGAGCUGGAAACCGAACUGUGGUCUUCCCGCUCACGAGCUCUGAGCAGCGAGUGACUGUUGAUAUUGGGGAAAAUGGGUUUCAGCCCAUCCGGCGAUCGAUUUCUAUGGAUUCAUUUACUUGUUCUUCUUCUAUAUAUGGAUUGGAGUCUGAUGAGGAUCUCAGCAAUAACAGGAAGAAAACCUCCUUAGAAGAAGAAGUGUGGGAUGAUAGAACCAGGAGAAAGCAAUGGAAUUUUUCCAGUGGCGCUUCUUUGCGCAAGGAAACAGAAAGAUCUUUAUCGAGCAUUAGUGGGAGCUUCUUCUUGUCAAGACAAGGCCGAGCUCGGCGCUCCCUUCUGCCGCUGUAAUGGUUCUAUAACUUCAGUUUAUUGCCGAGUUCACCAUAUAGCACAUUUUGUACAUACCAGUGGUUCUCAUCAAGUUGGGAGCUGCAUUUCACCAUCAUAUAUCUGCGUUUGUAAAGUGAAAAAUUACAGCAGCAAACUUGUGAUGAAUGCUACAUCGGUUAAAGGCUGAAAGGUAGAGUUUUGGGUUGAUUUCAUGGCAUGGCAAAACAAAUGGAUGAUAAGACUUGGUAUGUAGAGCUUCUGCUUGGGUUAUAUGUGGUCAUAAUUUCAUAUAUAGUUUCAGCAUGUAAAGAACUUUACUCUGAUGUAGUAUGCCAAUCGAUCAACUUGGAUUUGUUGGCCUUCUUUUUAUGCUUUCAUCUUCCUAUAUCUGGCUCAUGCAAUUUUGCCAAUAGUUGUGGUUGUUUGAAUGAUAGAAGUUACUGAUGCAUAUGAAGGCUAUUUCUUUUUCCUUCUCAAAUUAAAGCAGGUAAAUGUUGAAGUGUGCAGCAUAUAAUUUUAAGUUGAAUGAGAAUCUUCAUGACGGUAUCCGAUUAAUUUCUACAUAAGAGUGCUGCAUGAUAGCGUGAUUUCCUAAAUGAAAGGAAUAAUGCUUCAAGUUGAAUCUUCUUGACCUUUUAUGGCUUUCUCUCAUCCUUGUUUCUGCUUUCAUGCUGAAGAAGUUGAGUCCCAUCAAGAGUCUGCUUUCUUGUGGUAUUAUUAGAUUAAGACAUUGUCCUAUCAGGGAAACAUGAGAUAUUAGAUGCAUAAUCUGCAUAGAUUAUUGUUAUCGGAUAGCAUACUAUUGUCCAAGUGCAAAUGUUGCUUGUCUCUUAGGUUUUCAGUAUUUGGAGUGACUUCUUAGUUUCCUUUGAACUCUCUGCUAUUUCUAAUUUGCCGAUAACUUUCAGUGGCGUGUCAUCUGCAAGAACUUCCCCUACAAGUGCUCAUUCACAGAGUGGCUGCUUUAUCUUUUCUUUCUGUCAACUGUCUGGAAAAUCUGCUCUGAUCUGAACUUUUUUGUGGAUACUUCACUUUCGUGUUAAAUCAGAGCAACACACAAGUUUAGUCUUUGAAGUGAUAUUUUUGGAUCUUGGCUUGCAAAAAGACUUAUAUGAGUGCUUGCAGUCUCCUUUUGUUUUUACUAUCUUGUUAGAUCAUUGUUCCUUGUAAAUUUCUGUGCUGCUGCUUUUCAAGUUUCAGAAGAAUUGAAGAUUGUCAGUUUCCAUUUGGCCCACCGACCAAAUGCUUAGUAACUUGGUUUUUCAUCUCCAGCUUCAUUUACUGAGAUCAACAGUUCAACAAAUAUUGGGUUCUUCAGAUGAACUGAUGCUAAACAGAAACCUGAAGUUGUUUUGGUAAUUACUCCAGUCGAAAUACUAAAAUCAUUUUGAUUAUGUAGAGCAGAUGAUUUUGCACAAUAUUAUUUUCAGAGAUUUUAGUCAUUAUUGGUCAUUCAUUCAUCAACCUAAUGAACUUGGUUAUGCAAAUCCGUAUGUUCUUUUAAGCCAAAUCAGAGAUCAGCUCUGAUUUGCCUGUCCUAAUUCAACUUUUCUUCUUAUGAUCCUUCUUUUCUUCACCUUUAUAACCAAAAACAUGACUUCUGCUAAAAAUUUGCCAGUACUAAUUCGACAAAAUCUUGACUAGAUCUCUACUGUACAUCAAUCCUGAAGCAGCAGAGGAAUAAUAUUUCUAUCUGGAUUUGGAUGCAAACGUCAGUUGAGCAUGACAGCCUAUUCCCUCUGCAGAGUGCAAGUAGAUUUGGGACAAUACUAUCAAGAUCUUGCUGACCCAGUGGCACUGUUGGAUCCAAGCAUCUCUGCGGCUUGUUUGUAUCGGGUGUUCUCAGUGACACUGUUGAAGGCCUUCAUCCAACAAACUUAGCAGAGCAUACUCGGGAUAUCGUCAAUGGCGGAUCCCCUAUGAAUCGAGUAAAUGCUAUGAAAACCCUUGUCGGCUACAAGAACGAGUGGCAAUCACGUUUACAUUCAAAAGGAAUCGACUACAGAUUUGCCUCCUCCUCUAUCCUGAUUAGCAUUCGGUGGAUUGCUUCUGCAAUCUCGUCCGCUGAUGUACACCGGCAGUCGUCUUCCACCUGCCGAUCAAAACCAAACAGAGCAGGUUCAGAAGAGAUCCGGAAUCGCAGUGAUGUAGAUUGGAGACGAAGAGCUCGAUACACCUUGAGACUGAAGGAGUACAUGACGAUGCGAUCGACGGAGGUGACGUUGAGGUGCAGCGGCACGAGCCGCAAGCUCUGCAGUCCCGCCACCAGCCUGAGCAGCUGCCGGGGCCGCCGCCUCGACAGCAGCUUGAGGUUUGCAUGGCUCUCCAGCAUCGUCACCUCGAUGUUGGCAGUGGCCGUUUGGUUCUCGAUCUCGCCGGUGUUGCGGUAAAAGGCACCAGAGUGGCUGAUACCGUGCCUUUUACCGCUGUUAUCGUCGUUGCCAUUGCCGCCGCCGCCGCCACUGAAGAAAGAGGAGUACUGAGGAAAGCUGAAGAAGCCGGCGAAGGCAGAAGCGACGGCGGCCGCAUCUGUUCGUCGCUUGAGCCGUUUCUCCACCUCCAUCGAACGAAGGAGCUGCUCCAGUUCUUUGACAUAAUUGAUUGCGCCAGCGACAAUCGAAGCUUGAUCACCCUGUGCAUACAAGUGCUAAUUCUCAAGAUUUGCAGAUGAAUUCAUGGUGAUCAGAGGAAAACAUCGUGCUAUUACAUUACCCUUUGGACGUAGAAAGAAGGCAUGAGAGAGCGGAGGACAGCCAGGUACUCGUUCAUUUGCCUCCGGCGGUUGCGCUCCACGGCAAUGUGGGCCAUCCUUUGGCUCUCCACCUCCUCUCUGUUCUUGAUGCUCCUCCCGCAACGCCUCUUCCUCCGCCCCGCCACCUCCAUGGCCUCCCCCACUCCUCCAUGGAGGUUCUGCGCCGAGGAGCACGAGGGAUCACAUUCUUGCACCGCCCCUUUGUCAUCCUCCAUUAGCCCACCCGAGUCACUGCUUCAUGCUCCUCCCUCAGCGGCACGAGGCUCCAUGGAGACACAGCGAAAGAGGUCGUGAGGGAAAGCCACAGCUUCCAAUGCCAUUUCUCUCCACCUGCACACAGCUCCACGGGGAGGACGAGGGUGGCCUUUUAAAGGCACGGGGCGGGUCAGAAGAAAACAAUUGCAGACUUGCCACGUGAGAAGCAGAGGAAGAAGAGUCCGUGUUCUCUCUCUCUCUUUCCUCUUCCUCUACUCUACCCACAGUGAGACGAGUGAUGUGAGUUCAAAGAUCACGGAACAUGAGAGCAUCACCAGCUGAGCUGAGGUAGCAGCAGCAGAGCUUUCCCUUGUCUCUUCCUGACUGCUACCAUCUGCAGCUUCUGAGUCCUGUCACCAAAUUUUCGUAGGUGUAUGAACGAUGCUGCAAAAUGCAUGUGAUCUUUCCAUUAAAUUCAUCCUAAUUAUGAUUAUGGUUUCAAGAUUUUGACGAAAUUAAGUAUACUUAGAUAUAGAGAGAGGGAAAUAAAGUAGAGGCGUGUGCAUCAAUAAAUCUAAUUUAAAUGUUUACAGGUUUUACUAAGAUUAGCUUUCAGCCUAAUCUGCAAUCAAUGAACAGCCAGCUAAAUCAGCGGCAGUGAACAGGGCUGACUGAAUCCAACCAGACACUCGACAAAAUCCAACAUGUUGCCAGCUAAAACACGAGUUUUGUGCAAGUAGAUUCUGCACAUUUGGUUGAAGGGGGAAGAUGACAGCCUCAGCUACUAAUAAUCGCCAUGUUUGCGUGAAUCGAUGGAAGGUUUCAGCCACAGCUUCACAAGCUCAACAGCAUCAACUGGCUUCCUCUGCCAUUUCUCUCCUCCAAAGCCUGCUUGGGAAGAACAACAGAUUGGAGUUAGUAUUCUAUUGGCCACCACGAUCCAUUGGCUAAUUAUUCGCAUACUUAAUUGUCCUGUCGAUUGUCGCCUCUCCGAGGAGAAUGAGAGUUAGAUCGAUCAAGAAAUUUUCACUCUCCUCUUUGUUCUUUUACCUUUGAAGCAGCACGCAGUCGCUUGCAUCUCAUCUCAUCCUCUGUAAUCCAUAAUCAUGAGGCUCUCCAUGAAUGUGUGAUUGCAGAGGGAGCAGACAAGAGCUACGUACCAUAAUCUGCCAUCGUCAUGUCGAAGAAAAAGCUCGGUCGAUUGGAUGCAGCGGAGAGAUUUGUCUCAGACCCUGUCAACUUCAGCUCCAUCCAAAUCCAAAUACCUUCGUCUACAGAAGUUGCCAGUCUUGUUCUUGUGCCUUGUACCAAACAAUGAUAUCUGGGUUGACGAAGCCAUGGAGUGAUCCACGAUAAAAAAAAAAAUACAUUGGUGUUAUCGAGAGUUGAGUAGGGUCGAUGGCAAACAAUGUCGGCAAGAGAAUCUGAGGAUUAAUUUAGUCUGUGGGUUCGUGAAUCGAAUGAAGCAGGAAUAUUGUCGGAGGAGUCAGGGACGUUGGUCAUUUGAUCGAACAGGUGUGUGCUGUUUAUGCCGUGUGUUUGCAUGCGUGAAGGAAGCAAAAGACGAGUGAUGAUGAUCUGUUGCCAACAAAAAAUUUAUAAAAUAAUAUCAAUUUUUUUAUUUUUUAUUUUACCGCAGAACAGUUUUUUUAUUUAUUAUGCUAUUCUUAUUUUUUUAUAAAAGAUAAAAUUAUCUCUACUUUUCAAUUUUACCGAUCGAAGGUACAAAACAGCACAUCAAUUAUCGAUCUUAUCAAUGAUCAAAUGAUCAUUUCAAUUAUUAAUUAAAAAGUAAAAAAAAAGGAUUACCAUAGUCGCACAAUUGAUUUUCUUCUUGCAAACCUCCUUGACAAAACAGUAAUGUUAAGUUGGUCACUUCUUCUUCGUAUCGCUCUUAGGGUGUAAGUCAAAGCUCCUCGAUAAUACAAUAAUGUUAAGUUGAUCAAACCCUAAAAGAUCGAUUUAGGGGAAGAAACCCUAAGAGAAUAAUUUGGGGAAGAAACUAAUCGUACAACUGCCUAAGCCAAUAGCCUCUUUCUUUCAUCUUUUAAUUAACGUCUAAAACGACUAUUUUAUCAUUAGUAAAAUUAAUAUUUUCAUAGGCAUUGUAUCUUUGGUUGAUAAAGCCAACGAUAUUAUUGGGGUUAAUAUUUCGCCUUCAUAAAUAUAAGGAUGUGAACAUAAAUUUUUAAGUCUAGAAACUAAGAUACUAAAUAGGUCUAGCUAUAUUUAUCCCCCGUCAAUUAUUAUCUUAUUAUGGUCGACUCUGCCCCCUUACCAUUGUCCAUCAUCGUCACUCUAUUGCGAGGGCCUAUUGUCUCUGUGUGACCUCCUCCACUUCAUCACUUUCGUCUGAUAUUGUCAAGGCACUAGCUCAAUCUCAUUGGGCUUAUCAUCGGCAAAGAUAAAUAAAAGAGGGAGCCAAUGACAUCGGUGUGGUAAUGUGAGGGCAACAUUAGAGAGGAGAAAAUCAACCCUCUCAUAGUGAAAGGAGAUGAUGGUCUAGAAGAUGACGAUUAAAUCGAUGAUGGCAAAGAUCUCAAGGAGAUCGAGGAGGUAAAGUAAGAUAUUAAGGGGAUCUUCUCGCAUCAUUAUUAUAAGAGGGAGAUAAGAGAGUCGAUAAAAAAGAAGAAGAGAUUAGUAGGUCGGAUCGAAAGAGAUAGAGAUAGGAGGAAGAGAGCAUCUGAGAGGAGGCUGCCAUCGCAUCGCAGUACAACUUUAUGCGUGUUGUUAUACAAGAAGAUGACGAGGUCGUAUUAAGGUAAUAAGACAUGGGACGAAAUCACAUGGCUACUCUCACUGUUUGACGGCACACUAAAAGCUGGAGCACAACAGCUCCAUCUUGAUCAAAAUAUUCGCUUCUGCCAGAAUCAUAUGCUUGUCUCGAUGAACACCACCAAGAAGCAGCAAGAACCAAUGUAUUCAUUCCACCGUGACAUCCCAAAAUGCAUGUGUUUACUACUACUGGUGGGGGGUUUAGCUCAUGCCGGUGGAACGAUUGCCAAGUCCAAACAACCUCCGGUGCAUUAAUUUUUGGAGCAACCACGACAACCAUGCUUGUGGAGCACAAACUUGGUUAGGAGGAAUUCAACUCAUCUCUCUCUCUCUCUCUCUGUGUUUGAUCUGUUCAUUAGGUUGUGAUGUCCUAAUCGGUCUCCUUAAUUGUUCCCAAUCGAUCGCAAACUGCAUUACUUUUUUGACUUUAAGGCGUGAGUUCUGAUCACCGCAAAUGAGAAUAAGAAACCAAAAUUUAGACGAUUUGGGAUCAAUUUUGGAUUUUUUGGAGCUCCUUGACAUCCAUCUGUUAUGCGGUAAGCGCACCCGGAGGUCUUCGUAGUCCUCCUCGUUUUGUUUGUAUUAAAGUUCUGCUCACUCCCCGGUGAUCUUACGAAACCGAGUGUCGGAUGUUUUUGCCACCAUUUUGGAAUUUUUGGAACACUUUGACAUCCUUCCGGUGUGCGGUAAACACACUCCGGUCUCGUGACCCGUGAUAUUCUGCUCACCUUCCGUGAAGGUAAGAAACCGAAAUUUUGCCAAUUUUUUAGCCAUUUAAUAAUUUUUGGACGACUUUGAAGCUCUUCUGGUGUGCGGUAAGUGCACGUGUUAGUUACUGUGACCUUGUUUUAUUAGUAUUAUUAUUAUUGUUAUUAUUAUUAUUAUUAUUAUUAUUAUUAUUAUUAUUAUUUGAAGCGCACGUCCGGCGCGUCAGAUGAGUCUAAAUUCUCGAUCGGGAUUGAGGUCAAACAAAUGUUUCGAAUAAGAAAUCAACACGAAAUCAAAAUCUCAUGAUAUUAUUCUUCCCGACGGUGACAAAUCGAAUAAUAAUUUUUCAUAGACCGAAAUCGAACCAGGAAAUCAUGCAAGCCGAAAUCUAAACCGGACCGAGGAUUUCGGUUCAGUUUUGUCCUGUUUACGGUACUACCGAGUAAAACCUUUUAUGUUUAUACAAAUCUGAUUCGACAAAAGGCUACAUUUUCUGCUACCAUUUAUAUUUCAUUGUGUCAACAGAGCGUCAUCAAAAAUCUUCGAAUAUAAUGUUCACCAAAUCGAUUCAGACAUAAAGCCUCAUCCCAAGACGAACCAAAUCUAAAACAGAUGUUUCUGAUUUUAUGUCGGCACAUCGAACAAGUAGCGUCGCAUAAACAAACCAGAAGUUUGGAAGGGAAACAGAGGUGGAAGAUCGCAAACAGCAACACACCUCAGUUUGGGGCAACAGAGAGACUGUUGCAGGACCCCUAAGCUAACUCAGAUCUUGGACUUCGCAGCAUGUGCCCCUCCACCCCUAUCAAAACCUUUCUUUCAUGAGCACUCUAGGACGCGGAUCGGCAGUUUGAUGACAUGCAAAACAAUUCUAAGCUUUACAUGAUGAGAGAUGAUUAAGUAGCAGUAGAAAGGAUUAAAUUUAGAUUUCUUUGUUAUCGCAUGGCAGAGGCUGAAGAAGAAGACACUACCAGUCAUGGAGACAACCUUUCGAUAUGCCAUACUUCGCCUCCGUUUACUGUCCUGAUUGAGUACCGAAGCCUGUAAAACACAAAAAUGUUAAUUUCAAUUGGCUAAUGCAUAAGCCAUGAAGCAUAACAUAUACUUCCAGAUGCCUCAUCGAACGGGAUGGACCUACCGAUCAUGAAGACGAGAAGGCUGGCCUUGCCAAAAUUCAAACUUGGUUGGUUUCAGUCUGUAGCCUCCCCAGUACUCUGGCAUAGGGAUCAAGCUUCUGGAGAAGCAGAAUACAUAAUGACAGAUUAGGCAGUUUUAGCUUUAACAACAUGGACAUUUCAAUGAUGAGGGUAGAUUGACCGAGUGCAUACUAACAGGGUUUUACAUAAUGCAAAGGCAGGUUAGGCAUAGGGAUCAAGCUUCUGGAGAAGCAGAAUGCAUAAUGCAAAGCAGUUUUAGCUUCAACAACAUUGACAUUUCAAUGGUGAGGGUCGGUUGACCGAAUGCAUAUUAACAGGGUGGAGUACAAAUUCUUCCUGAGUGGCAUAUACGAAAACCAUGGGAGAGAGAGAGCCACAGACUUCUAUCAUGCUAAAAAUAGUAAAGCUGGGAUGAUAGGGUCAGACAACGUACUUGUUCAACAACCAAAAGAAAAUGAUAAGGGAUCACAUGAACCAGUGUUGAAUCAAUUAGAAUCUCUUACAGUCAUGAGUGAGUCCAAUUUAUAAUACAAAAGUCAGAAAAUAAUGAAAAAAAGGAGACCUGAGCAGAAAAAUAGGCAAUAAACUCUGGCCUACAAGCACCAAACAUACAACCUAACCAGACACAAGGCAAUGGCUUCUAGUAAAGGACAGAAUUUUAAAUCCUCAUAUUUACAGUCUUUAUCCACUUCAAACAUGAAAUGAGCACUUUACAAGGUCGAAGAUAUCCUAGUUAAAAAGAAGACUAAAAUUUACAGGGCACAUAUGUGCAGGGUUCUUCAAGGGUAACACCUUCAAAGCUGAAGAAUGAUCAUGUUGACAUAAAAAUCAUGAAGGCUCUCAUCUCUCAAAAAAAAAAGGCGCAUAUAAAAACAGAAAAGAGAUUUCCAAGGAUUCACAAAUAUCUAAAAUACUUCUAUUUGCCUAUCUGUUGAAACAUUAACUAAAACUAACAUGUCAAACCAAAAAAUGAGGUACUUUUGUUAUAGCAUAUAUUAAUCAAGACUGCAUCUUAGAAGUUGGAAUAAUAGACAGGCAUAAAAGGCAUAAGCAUAUAGCAAACUCGUUUAACCUAAUGAAAGAUACUGCUCGAAUAACAGCAUUACCAAAAUGGCAAAAUCAUAUGCAACGGGUACAUGACAGAAACAAACAUACUAUGAUGACAAAACAAAUAUAAAGAGGGGGAAAAUGCAAUGCUAAACAUAUUAACUUAAUGAAAGCUACUGCUCAAAUAACAGCAUUACCAAACUCAUAUGCAACAGGCACAUGACAGAAACAAACAUACUCUGAGGUAAAAACAAAGAUACUCUGACACAAAACAAGGCUUAGUUAAACUAACCCAUCAGCAUAUUCUUCCUCUAGUUUUUUGUACGCUUCAUCAAGCACAUGCCUUCCGAUUACAGUAGUACUCUGAAGAAACCCAUAAAAACAUUUAAGUCUCCACUGACGUGUAUAAAAACAUUUUUAUACAUAGAUAAAAGCAAGACAAACACAUCAGACCUGCUUGCUAGCUAUUGCUCCAAGCUGACUUCCUCGAGGGCGACUAUGGAAAUAUGUCUCGGAUUCCUCCUUAGAAACCUUUUCAACAGUUCCUUCAACUCUAACCUGCAACUUAUAAUACUGACCGCAUCAGACAAAAGUCCCAACCAGAUGGAGAAGCCAAAGAAUGAAUUCUUCUUCACUGUGAAAAUAUAUAUCAACUAAAAAUAUGUUACUCAUAACACACAUCUAAAAUCAAUGAUUAUUAAAAAAUAGUAUCAUUGAUGCAAAACAAUGUAACUAAUAAAGUAAUAAACAAUUCUAAAACCAAUGAUUUUCAGAAAUUCUCUCUGAUACAAAAAGAAUACCAGUAUCGUCACUGGUCGGGCGAUGAGUAUACCAUUCGAUGCUCACAUUUCUUCCAUCCACUUUUUCGCCUUUCUCAACCAAUAUGCUCAUUUCCUCUCUUUUCCAUCAGCAAUAAUAUCAAGCUUAUUUCGUUCUCUUUUUCUCAAAUUUUGUCUUCAAGUUUCUCCCAUUUUAUUAUCGAAAUUCUCAAGAAACAUCACGUUUGUGACUUUUCUUUCAAGCUAUGGUGUGGGUUUCUUGCUAGGAAGCUUGGUUUCUUCUUCAAUUCGAGGAAAAUCUAAACCUAGCCAACUUGUUAUUUGUGUAAGAGUUGUUUCUCACUCAUUUAGAUAUUUUAUGUUUUCGAACAUAAAGUUCUUGUUAAAUUGAGGCUGAAUGCACAUCCAGCAUUGAUCUAUUUGUAUCUAAGUCGAUCCACACUGCAUGGUUCCAAACUAGAUACUUAUGUAUCUGGUCAAGAACCAUGCAAAACUUGUCUAGAACAACAUCCGGCAUAGAUCCACAUGAAUUUGACCCAUGUUCAUGUAGAUCUAGGCAAUAUUUGAGUAGAUUGAACCUAAAUCAGCAUGAAUUUGAUCUAGAUUCAUCAAGUUGAUGCUAGAUCGGUGCUGAUCCAAACAAAAUUUUAUCAUAUAAAAAAACCAUAGCCCUUCAGUUGUACCAAGAUAAUCAAAUUUCCAAAAAAAAAGUUUUGUAAUCUCAUAUGAAAAGUAAUUGUCUCCAUGAAGACAAAGCUAAAUACCCCAAGAGAGAGCAAUAACCUGACGAUUAAGAGGAUUCCAGUAGAAAAGAAGUGAAGCAUGAGGAUUUUCAGACAAUUCCUUGGCCUUUUGGCUCCCAUAAUUGGUAAACCUAAAUUAGCAAAACAAACAUGCUUAUGUAAAACCAUCUCAUGGAAAGAAAUAUAAACUAUAUGCUUUGUUAAUGAAUAUGAAAAUUCAACUCAGCAGUCAGUUGCAGAAUUAGUCAAACAUCACUAACCAGACAAACCCCUGUUUGUCAGCUCCUUUUAGCAGGACUAUCCGUGAUGAACUGCAGAAAAGAUAAUUCAAGUUUUGGAAUAUACACCAAAAGUCUAACAUGUUGUGAAUCUGAUUUCAUGAAGAAAAGGCUCAAAAAGAAUACACACGGUUUUCCUUCAUGGCCAGAAGUUGACAAGGCCAUAGCAUUUGGCUCACGCAAGCCAGCAGCAACUGCUUCAUCAAACCAUUUAUGGAACUAGCAUAUGGUCAUGGUAGAAUGUUAUUCAAAGUUAAAAGAUAAAUACACCUGAUCCAACUAUUUCAGAUUUAUUAUCGUUUCACCUUGAAGAGAAUGAGUGGUUUCAGCAGCCAAGGAGCAGAUUGAAAUACAUAAGAAAUCAUAUAAUAGAUCCAGUUGAAAACAAAGAAAAUAUACCUGAUCUACAGGGUGAGACAGCACCUGGUCCUCAAGAAGUUCAGGAGAAAUAUAGUUCUCCCUCAGUGAUGCAAUGUCAACAGAUGGGGGUUUUCCAAUUCUCACACACAUUGAAGUGCCUGGAUACUGAGGAAGCUUAAGUUUGUACUUACUGAUGAUAGACGGAGGAACAAAUCUGCCCCCAAGAAAGUGAUGUGGGCCGACAAAUUUUUUAGCACAGAGCUUUGGAGCAGUUAAUGAAACCUAGAUAUAAAAAGUAAAUUCAGAUGUAAGUUAUUUCAGAAUAAUAACAAAGAUGUGUGCGUACAAAAUCCACCAUCAGAUACUAUUAUGUACAAGAACAAACCAAAUUCAAUUUAGACAGAUACCAGCAUGUCAGGUUCAAAGCCUUCACCAGUGAUAUCUCCUUCCUCAACAUGCCAACCGGAAGGAAUAUCAACAGAAACAAUUGCUGAUGAUCUCUUGCGUCCACAGUCAACACGACUUAGAGAAGCAAGCCUCUGAAUAAGAUCAUCAAAGGGUGGCCUUGGUUGACCUACAUACACAUUCAUUAUUGUUAACAUCUAAAGAAACAAGUAGUUAACUAAAACCAAGUUUAUGGAUGCAUUACUUUUAUGUAAUAAGCAUUUCAAUUUUUCGUCUUGGUUAAGAUCACAAUAAUCUACUUACAAUGCAACUAUGUAGAAUAUCUUGGCACCAUCAUAAGAAUAGGUUGCAGAAAAAAAUCUAUUCUUACAUGUCUUUGAAUUACUUCGAAGUAUCUUGAUGAAAUUAAACCAUCCAAGUAAAAUUCUGUAAGACAGAAUAAAGAGACUAUUGGAAAAAAGCCAAAGAAGCUUAUUCAGUGAUCUUGUUUGUUUGGAAUAAAAAAAAACAAUUGGUCAUAUGAACCAAAUGAAUCAAGAAAAUCAAUUACAUACAGUUUGCUUCAGCCAAAUACACAAUACCUACAUUUUUAGAAUCUCCCUAAUAAACAUCAUACAAGAGCAGGGACUAAAAGAUAUGUGUAAGCACUUAAUGCAAGGAUGUGAAACUAACCAAAUUUUAGAAAAAGUUAUAAUUCACAUUAACUAAUGUUGAAUAUGGAGCAAUAAGAAAAAGUAUUCAAGCAUUUUGUCUGCGACAAUUAAUGCGUGGAAACAUAAACUUGAUAAGAAUCUUCAGCCCAUCUAGCAGUGCCUUGAUUUUGGGUUCUUCUACAUAUAAAAAAAUGAAAAUAUAAUAUUUCUUUCCAGGUUUCUUUUUGUUUUACUGAAAGCACAUUUAAUGGUGACACUUUUGGUUCAUCCUAGAGACCCAUCAGAAGAUCAAGUAAAGAUUGUCGAGCAAUCAUGGGCCUAGCAGUAAUUGUCAGACGAUUACAAAGCUUAGAACGGUGAAAGCUCUUAAAGUACAGGUUUUCCUCCAAAAGAACAGAAAUAAAAAUAAAGUAAUAAAACUUAAUUUCUACAGUUUUAAAUUCUAGAGAGCUUUGUUCGUGUCAGACCAUUGACCCAAUAUCAAAGUGGGGACAUUUGUUGUGUUCUGGAACGGAUGCUCAUAUGUGGAGUUCCAUGCCGAUACUGGGCAUGGAAGUGAAAAUUUAGACCAUGAUGUAUCCUACAUUAGUAUACAACAUUAUCCUCUUUCAAAAACAGAAGCACAAAACAAAUUAAUGCCAAAUAGGCACUUGAGUUACCAUGAAAUGAAAAUCCAAACAUCGCAUCAACAAUGAGGUCAAAAUUUUCCGUUAAGUUCUGAGGUAAGUCAUCAACAGAAAUGAAAGAAAUCGAUAGUGAUUCCAACUGCAAAAUAACAUAAAAUAGUUAGUGACUCUAAUCAAAUGAGAAUAACUGGAAAAGAAAAGGAAAUGAGCCAUACCUGAGUAACAAGGCCAUUAUAGAGAGGCUUCGGCGUACGCUUUGGAUAACAUAUAAAGGGUUCAUAUCCAAAAUGAUGUAGAUGACGAGCAGCUACAAGACCAUCACCACCAUUAUUUCCUGGACCACAGAUAGCAAGGACGCGUCUAUAUUCACUUGAUUUAUAGACCUAUUAAAAACCAUAAACAUCUUAUUUUAACUUUGCAAAAGCAUUGAGAUAUACAGAUUUUGAGAUCCAAUAAUAAACAAUCAUGAGAUCCUUCACAGUUGACGAAAAAGAUUAAGCAUUGAUAUCUACAAUAUCAAUUAAUACAAAAGGAUCCAUGGCCCACAGUAAUAUUCUUUCCCUCUUGACAUAACGAUUGAAUGAAACAUUAUUAGAAAAUUUAAUUUCCCGAUAAAGGUGGCCCGAUUCAUCAUGAUCUUACUGGCAAUGAGUAUAAAAUAGCCCCUCAUGACAUAUUAGCUUAAUUGUGAAAGUUCAGCUGGAGAAGUAAUCGUGGAACUGAUAAUCCGAUAAGAUGUCUUUGUAAAUGCAUCCACUAAAUCCACUGAAAUUAUAGCCUGUUCAGGAUUAUUGACAUUUACAUGAUCUUUCUGCUCAACAUGAUUCCCACCACAAUAAUCACCCAAACAGGAGAUGCUCAUAAUCCAUCUACAAAUAUCAAAAACAUUUAAGCUUUAACACAACAAAUUUGUUUAAUGGACUCAGUAGGUUUUCAAUCUAACAUGCCUUCUUAAAAAUGUGAUAUUACCCCUAUGAUUUUCAAACUACAAACACAUAUUUAGCUUUUACCAUCAGUAAGUUAUCAUGGAACCACCGUCCAGGUAAUCAACACAACUUGUCCGACCAGGGACAUGUCCACACCACUAAUCCUUUAUUAAAAAACUGCUGCACGAAAAUCUUCAUAUUACCAGUGUUGUUACUCGUGCAAAAGAAUUUGACAAAUCAGGAUAUAAUAAUAAAGGAUUAAGUUUUAAAAUGGAUUCCAAUAUUAGAAUUCUCCACCACAAUUACCUUAUAUUAGAAAAUUUAGAGGCAAAUCCAGCGUCAUAUUUGUUGCACAACUCAAUGAUCUAAUGGCAAAAUGAAAUUUCCAUGGAUAAGGCAGUGAAUAUCAUAAAAACUAUUGAUUGUGCGAAUUUUAAUAAUAUAAUUUGUAAUUUUGUCUUGACACAUAAAUAUAAAGGACUGUGAUUCUAUAUCUUCAGCUGAAGCAUCAUAAAACAUAUCUGUAAAGGAGGCUGAAAAGUUGGAUCAUCUAUAUCAUGUAGCCACCUAUAGCGGGUGUAUCUUCUUAAAAUACUUAGGUCAAGGUCACUGCUACUCCUAUUUAAGGUUAUUAUUUCCUGUAGGCAACUCUAAGGACUAAAGUUUAUGUUGCUAAUACGAGGAAAACCAUAGAAAAUGGAUAUACCUGAUUAUCAGCUUGAUAUCCUUUUCAGGUUUCUUUUAGAGUUUCUUGUACUCGUUUAUGCUGCCAAAAGUCAUCAAAACUACUUGUUUCUUCCUCAAGCUUCUGUGAACACUGUUACUUGUUUCUUACCAAUAUUUGCUAAUUGUCAUGCAGAAGCUCUCUACAACAGCAUGAUGAUCAGAGUAUCACCCAUAAACCGUACUAGAUAUUUGCAAAAGUUUUUUUUCCCAACUACAAAAUGGACAAGUAGUGAGCAUGCCAUAUUGAAAGACUGCUGAUUACUCUUUUUGGACAGUGAAACAUCCGUUUUUUAACUUUGUGAUCAUUAUUCCAUCUACCACAUAAAACAGAAUGGCUAGGAUCAAAAACUGUACUAGAGAUCCUUCAAUCAAUUUGAAGUAUCCGCUAACAUCUUUCAGAGUCCACAUGUUUUUCAAAUCAGAGGUGGGCAACGUGAAUUUGCGAUGCACAAUAAGUGAAGAAACCAUAUUUCUCCAUUGGCUUGAACCAAAAGUUAUGAAUUUGAGCUUCAAACAAUGUUAAAUUUUAGUAUUUUACAGUACAAGAAGUUCAUGCAGAACCCAAGACGGAAAAUGCACAAACAACACAAAGAAUGACUAACUCCAUUAAUAUGACCCCUGUGAGCAUUUCAGUGACACAGAACAAGAAGGGCUUAAGAGAACCAAAAUUACCUCCGAUAUAGCCGCGGCCACGCUCAAUCCCGCCAAUUCCUGCCAGAUGAAGAACAUCUCAAUCAAAAUCAAAUUAGAGGAGGAAGGGAACUUGAGAAUGCGAGAAGAAAAGAUGAAAGCACCAUCAGCUGAUCGACGCUGAACCCCAGAGGUCCCAUGAGGAUCUCAUCGAUCUCCGCCGCCUCUCGCUGGGUAAGAUAUGACACGGCUUGGUCCUCCAUCGAUCCCGUGGAGGAGAGAGCGCGGGCGAGAGGCGAGGAGGGCGGAGAUGACGCGUAGCAGAUCGACCCCGGUCCUCUUCUCGAACCCCAGAAAGGAUAGGCGGGGCAAACUGACAACGGGCGGCGAAGGGGAUUGGGGAAAGGAAUCGGGACGGCGGCGGCAGCUGAGGAGGAAGAUAGGGUGGGAGCGAAGAGGAGCGAAGAGAGGAGGAGAAAGGAUGGCAUACCACGGUGCUUGGCCCGAGGUAACAUAUCUUAUGUUGCGACGACGACACAGUAAAGCCAUUCUUUUCUCCUCGUCAAUUUGGGCUCGUUCAUGAACUCAUAUCGGAUUAAUUAAGCCCACUGGGCCAUUUUCCAGCCCAACUCUAAUUGGGUUCGGUUCAUGUUAGAUCGAGUAUUGAUUGAUAUUGUGAGAACAAAAACGUAACUCCAUGGGAUUCCGAAGGUAAGGUAUGUUUAAUUAUUCAUUUUUAUCCAUAUUAUUACCUAUGUUUCAGAUUAUUUAUAUAUCAAAAAAUUAAGAUAAAUAUUACAUUAGCAUUUAUUAAAAGAGAGAAAAACUAAGGUUGAAUUUUUCGAAAAAAAAAAAUAUUUUUGUUUAGGUGUUUCUCAGUAAGUAGGAAGGGGUAGUAGUACUAUAUCUAUUUAUCAUAAUAUUUAUCAUAAUCGUAAAAAAAAAUCUAUUUAUCAUAAUACUUGCCUAAGGAUAAUUUUGAGAUAUAAUAAUUUUGGGAUUUUGAGAUGGAGUGAAGAGUCAAAGUUUGACCGGGACCAUCUCUUCCAGCUUGAUGGAACCCCGAGGCCGCAGUCAGUGUCCACAAGCUGCUCAUCCCGCAGUUGGGUCGGCUGUUGAACACCAUUAAGCUGCUCACGGGGCAAUAAAUCGCAUCGGACACUCUCCAUCGUCGCCCUCUCACCGACUUGUCUGUCAUUUUCCUCCGACCUCGAAGCUGAUUGACGCACACUUACAGAUGACACAUCUGUUCCAUAAAAUUACUCACCGCUUGUCUCAUCCUUCUUCGGCCUUACUGUUGUCUCAUCUAAUGCGAGCACUUUGUGAAUCUGUUUCUCCUACCUACAUCAGGCCUGAAUCAGUCUCUUGUCUUCACCUACCCAUCUCAAAAGCCAAACCUUGGCCGAUUACCCAACUGAGACCAUGAAACUUGUUUGUGUCUCUGCUUUAACUCUAGCAGUGUCCCGGGACCGGUAAUGUAUCUGAACAUCGAGGCGCUCAUCGGUGUUCGAUCCUGGUAGCUAUGCAUUAGUUGUUGAUGUGCGUGACUCCCAUAAAAUUUCGGUCCCCAGGCAAUUGGUGGACGAUCUGUUGCAUAUGAGACUGUCGAUCGCAGAUGGGAGGUUUGCCAACCUGGAGUGACCACUUCGGUACAACAGGAUGAUUACCUCCUGGUUCUUCUUCCUCUGCACCGAAGUUGUUGAGGUGGUAUAAAUCGGUUUAAGUGUUCCGGUCAGUGGAUCUAUAUCUGAAGUCAGACCACCAUUCAGAUGUGUUCUUCCAGUCUCCAAGAACAUUACUUGAUGAGGCUCACUUGCUGUUGGUCUCUGAUGAGCUACUAUGAUUAAGAUUUCAACGUCUCUCAGCACAACAAGUGACGUCUUACUGCAUCGAAGUAGUCCCAUCCUCGAGCAUGAGUGUUUGCCGAUGACUUACCUCUGCUGAGACAGCAUGUUAGGUGGGACUUGAAACAGCGAAAAGAUUCUUCGAGCUAAUCUCUUGUUUACAUUGUUUCAUGUUAUGGUGGCAUCAGACAGAGUGCAGCAGAAUUGGAAAAGAUAUACCCCAAACAGAACAGAUUCAGAUCCAUGUUACAGUUCAAAUUCUAUACUGACAUCUGUUGCUCUCAUGCAUCUAAUUCCAAAUAUGCUGAGCAUCUGUCAGGCUUAGCCUGUUGUAUUCCGAGAAGGGAUUGGCCUCCUGUACUUGAAAACCUCUCCAAACAAUUUGGAAGAGACAAUACCAACUUCAGCUUAUUGCCAAAUUGUUUCUCUCGAACUCUAUCUGAAGUUUAGAUGCUUUGAUCCACGUCUUCAAAUCUCUUAAUUCCACAAAUUUAAGCUUUGGCCUUCACAUAACCCUCCUCAGUUCCAUGCUUCAGAAAAUCUACGGUGACACUGCUAUCCUAAUAUUCACAAAAAUCACUUUUUUUUGGUGGUUUGUUUGUUGCAUUAAUUCACAGUUCAAAGUCACAAUAGUAUUACUUUCAAAGGUACACAAAAGGCCUCCCUGUAUUUAUGAAGCUGUCUCCCUCUGCCACAAGACAGUUCCCUACGAAAUUGCACACCAGUUUCCAUUUCCCAGAGAUCAAUGAAGUAGUAAUUUCUCUAUGGUCUCUUUCGUGGACUUCCAAAGGACCAAAUUUUCUCUUGCAUGUCUCCGAAGAAACUUGCUCAGCUUUUGUCAAUGGCCAAAAGAUGGAGGCUUGUCGUUACAGUAUUAGCAUACAUAGGCUCACAUGUCAGCAGACCUGCAAGCAAAAGAGCAUGGAAAAUGGAGGGCCAUUAAUCAUAAAUAGUUAAACGAAAUUUGCUGCAGAAGACGCCAUGGCAGAUUCUUCAAUGGGGGAAACUAAGCCAGUUGACUGUUGUCUAUAGGCAUAAAUACAAAGUCAUCUCAUAUGUAUAUUUUUAGGACAAGAAAGCACAAAGGAUAUUCCUCUCCAUAUCGAGCUGAUGAUCAUGUUCACGUGAAAGAGUCAUUGCAUUUCGUUUAUGGGGGAACGACGAGGACAUGACAGUGCUGCGAACAUUGUGUGCAUGAUGUUCCAAGUCCUGCUAAAAAGUUCACAGAUCCCAACACAUGAUACUCCAAGAGGCACAGAAUUGGGUCUUGGGCAAUGCUCAAUCCAUGUUUACAUAUGAUGAUGGAGUUUGAAGAAGGUAAAUCCCAUCAAAUGACACACUGUUUUGAUAAUAUUUUGCUAAAACCUGAAACUUCAAAGGGAGGCUCCCACCACUCUUCCCUAUAAAUUCUUGUCUGCAUGUUUCCAUUCCAAGAUUGCCACUGAACAAUGGGCUCUUCAUCUACAUAUCGUGGGGUCAGCAAAUUCCAGAGUCUAAGCAGACAAGCAGUCAAACUUUGGAAGGACAUGGCAGAAAAAGCACAAAUACAUGAAGAAUCAAUGGAUGAGAUAGAUAGAUAUAUGCUGCCUGAUUGUGCUUUUAUAUGCAGAUCUACUUGCAGUUUGUUUCUGUUUUCUCUGGAGUAAUCCAUCCUCUUUGGAUCACAAAUAAUUGAACUUUUGUUUAGCAAUCUGUACUUCUCACACAAAAUAAUAGCUUCAAUCUGAUCUGUCAUUACAUGCUGCACACCAUUAUAUUAUGCUUGAAAAAUUUUUGAUCUGGUUAAUUGCAUUCAAAUCAUAAGCAUGAGUUGAUGAAGUAGGCCAACUGACUUAUUCUCAUUUUCUCCUCUGUUAAAUUUCAAGUCAACCACAUACUUCAGCUCAUCCUGGCCACACUUAAGUCUCUUCAGAAACAAAAUUAAUUGGAUUUGGCAAAAACUAUCAAACAGGUGAACGCUCAUGAAGUUGAUGGUCUGUUCAGUUUCCUCUUUUUGGCAGCUGGAGAGGAGUGAAGAAGACAGUUUCCAUGUGAUUCAACUGCUAGAUCAUCACUCUCAUCACUCAGGCAUGCAGCAUCCAGUACCCCAAUCGGGCUCUUUGGCACAGCAGAUAUCGAUGGACUGGUGUUCCUGUUUGUCCUGUUCUUCAUCGAUGUCAUCUCUUGAAUCACUCGAUGACACUUGAAGACCCUUUCCUGAAUUCAUUGUGCAAACCAAUUAGGUCCUUGGAAACAAAUAGCAUUUUAUUGAUGAAGUAGUGUGUAACAUUUGGUCAAUCUUACCUUAUUUACAUGGAUGCAGCGAGCUAAAGCCUGGUCAAGAUCCAGAAUUUGGGUAUCCUUCAAGACUGACAGUGCCACUGCUGCAGCAAUCUCAGAAGGCCUGUACUCUAGGAAAUCAAUCUCUGCAAUCAAGUUACAGUCACAGUCAUGUUAGGCCUUUUUAUCCAAUCUAACUCUCCCUAGAUUAUGGGUACAUCACUCUAAAUCACUGACCUCUAACAGUGCCCAAAAUGAGGUCCACAGAAGAAGAAGUUAACAAGCUAUCUGGCAAAUUUCCAUCACUAAAUUUGUACAGAAAAUAACCGAUGAACGAGAAAGGUGUCAGGGCUUGCAUCCUCCACUUGAGGGUGCCAAGAACUAGAAGCUCCAUUCUGUGUAUAGUCCUGGCUUCAAAUACAUGGUUUGCAUCACCUACCUGUUUGUUUGUCCACAACGAAAAAUGUAGAUUUCAUUGAUCAGUAAUGGGAUCUUAUAAUCCAAGAUGAAAUUUGAUAUACAUAACUAUUUUGGUUUCUCUAUUUCUUAAACCUGUAAUUCCAGAGAUAAAGGGACCUCGGUUUCCUCCACCUUGGCAGCAAGAGAUAGGCAGGCCACUGAUAGUAACUGCGGUAUCCAAGCCUUACCUUGCUGAAACUAGAGAAAUCGAAACACCGGUACAUCAGCAAAGCCAUACAUUUCCGCACUAUGUGGCUAACAUUGCUACAUGCAUCACAUUAAAGAAGUAGGUGUCAUAGUAUUUUCCUCUUACCGGGAGUUCGUAAGAGGAGAGAAAUCGAUCCAGGUAAUUUAUAGAGAGAUAAGCAGUGAGAGGCCCAAAAUUGUGAUGUGCAUGAACCUGAUCAUUGAGAAAAAAGUGAUAAAUUGUCACAGGGUAAAUGAAGGAAGAUAAUAACAUAAAAAAGAAAGCUAAAUUAUAUCUCCAUCAUCAAGAGCAUGCAGAGUGGGGAAAGAUAAGAUGAAUUGAUUUCCCUGCGCAUCCCCGGACUGAAAGGAGAAGAAAAACUAAAGAGUAAACUCUAAUCACAUCGAUCAGUGGUUUCAGAGAUCAAAUGCCCAUCCACUGAAGACUCAUAAGAGGAAGAACGGGAUCCAGGGAAAACAUCAGAGGGAACAAAGAAGUGGUAAAGCAGAGGGAAACUCGACCCACCUUUUGGAUCCAGUCAAUGGCAUCACUCCUGGCAACCAUGUCUAAUUGCCCCCUCAGCAACCUCUCGGCGUAGUCACCCUGUGGGCGAUGCUGGGACUCCCUCUCGACCAGCUCGACAACACAGUCCUCCGACUGCAAGGUGAAGUCCAUCAAAAUGGCCCCACAAAAGCCACUCUUUUUGUCGGGAGAUUGGCAAAGGUCACGCCUUUGGGCUUCCCCAUGCAAGUCCUGCUCCUCCCCCUCCCCAUCAUCGAAUCCCAGGAUGCUGCUGCUAUCCUCUGGACAGAGGAGGAUGGAGGAAGCAUACUUGUAGCUAAGGCCCAUUGCGGAUGAAUCAAAAGCAGUGGAUAUUAAGACAGAUUGAUGCUUUUCUUCUCUUCCUCCCUAAAAAAUGGUGUCUUUAGAUAUAGAACGAGAAGAUGAUAGUAUGAAGAGGGUGGGAAGGGGCUCUCUGUGAGGUCUUGGUGGUGAGGAUGAGAGAAGAUGUGAGAGGGUCUGAAGCAACAAUGCAGAAGGGGAGAAUAGAGGAGUACAAAGAAGAAGCUCUCUUUGAGGGUGGUUUAUAUACGAGGAUGGAUUUUGGCUUGUAGCUUCGUCCACGUAAAUGAUGACGUCAUGAUAUGGUCUGCAAGGCAUCAAAUGAAGAGAGAGAGAGAGAGAGAGAGAGAGAGAGAGAGAGAGAGAGAGAGAGAGAGAGACUGUGAUCUGACUUGAUAGAUUCUACUAGGGUGGAGGUGGUAAGCACAUAAAAAGGCAUGGUUUGGUGAGACGUGGUUUUGAUUCCUCCCCACAUUUCUUUCUCUCUCCUUUCAUCGAUUGUACUAACACUUUUGUAUUUUUUUUAAGUAAUAUUUUAUUUGUUUGAAGGUUUCAAAUCAAAUAUAUAUAUAUAUAUAUAUAUAUAUAAUCUCGAAUUUUUCAUGAAAUCAACACGAGUCAAUUUGCUCAACCUAAUCUACUCGACUUAGAUUGAUUUGACUAAUCAUUUUAUUGAGCUCUAUGGAGAUCCAGUAUGGUGAUAGUGACAAAACGGAAGAGCACAAUCAAUUAUAAUGUCAUGUUAUAGUGCAUCAAGUAAGUAAUGAUGGCUUUGGACUCGAUCCUUCUAACGCUAAACUAUUAGAAUUAAUUUGGAUUAUUUGAGUAGCAAGCCAACUGAUUUUUUUUUUUUUUUAUCGAUCUUAACCCUACAAAACUAAGUCGAGGGGGUGAUAUUAACAACACCCAUAUGAUACUCAAGUUAAUAUUAGUUUUGAAUAAGUCAAUCUAGUUACCCAUUUUACAGUGAAGUUUGGGGCCGUUACAUCAUAUGUUUAGGAUAUUUAUGGCCAUUGAUUGUAAUUGCUGAUAAUAGACAUUUGACCUUAACACAUGUAAGCUAAUAAUGCAUCCAUAAGGAGAUAGUAGUUGUUUCUUAGAAAGCAUGAACAAACGAAGCAUAUCAAAUCAAACAUGACAUACUCUAUCAAAUCCAAUACACUACCUAUUACCGAUGCGGUAGAAGACCGAGAUAGCUGAUCUCAAUUGUUCUUAUAUACUAUCAAUAAUUACAUUUGAUUUAAUUAAUCAUUUGAAUAUGAUGUCAAUGUUCAUUAUCGAUCUUCAAUCAAAUAAAUGAUCACGGAUUAAUCUCGAGGAUAACACAAAUUUAUCUUUAUAAUCAUCAUGAAAGUCAAAGAUCACAAAGAGAGAAAACAACAAUAACAAUCACAAUUAAUCUUCAACUAGUGAGUGUAAUCAAUUAGGAACCAACAAUAACCACACCAAUAUUAGACCUUUUCUGAUGCCUGAGUUAAUAAGUUCUGCAGGUAGUAGUAAGUAGUGAGAGAUGAAAGAAGAGACCUCCCAUCUAUAGUAUUUGGUCACCAAUAUUUGAAUCAUUCUCAUAUUUUCCAUCGUGAUCUUUUUCUUCUUCUUCUUCUUCUUCUCUCGGAGAGUUGAUAGUUUUCAUGAGCAUAAAAUGAAACCGAUCGGAUGACAAAUAACUCGAGCGACAAAUCCUCACAAGAUUAUUCUAUACUACAAGAACAGUACACGAUCUACUAAAUCUAUGAUGAUGCAUAGAAACCUUUACUUGCCUAAAUUAGAGACUCUUACAAAAAAAACUUUCUUUGUUACUUCAAAUUAUAAACCAUGAUUUUUCUAGCACUUUCCCCAUAAACAACAUAAUGAGUUGUAUAGAUCAGUCGGCAGUCAUGUCAACAGGAUAAGCUUGUCCGACUAGGUUGUGUGUUUUGCAGCUCAUCCACGAAGGAUGACUGCUAUUCCUUUGUCCAAUUGAGUGGCCUUCCAUAUAUUCUUUUCACGAUAUCGUACAUUAAACUUGGCUUGGAUUUCUUAAACGUGGUCGAUAACUCAAUGCAACAACGUUGCUUGUAUUAGACGCAACAUCUUUGACUCUACUGUGCAAGUUGCAACGACGAUAAAGUUACUAGUUGGUCCACUCCGACUUUGUGCAAGUCAAUUACGAGCAAGAUCGUUUGGUAGGUCAUGACGAGCAAGCUAAGAACUCAUGAUCACGUUGCUCUACUUUCACUUUGACUUACUGCAUUUCUGCUCCUAUAACAGGAUUAGAGAUAGAUCAAGAACAAGAAGCAAAAGAGAUGAGUUUGCUAGCUUUAAAGUCUAUCUAAAUAGUGAUGGUAAUUUGCGGUGUACUAUUUGGUAAGUUGUACUGUGAGGAGAGAAACGAAAGGAAACAAGUGCUUUGUUUAUCCUCACAAUCAAUUCUCCUAUUUCUUCCAUGGCUUUCUCCAUAGUUGAGACGUGAUCGAGACACUCAGUCACACAAUUCUGGGGUGGGUCACCCACUGCUGUUCCUAGUGAGAGCGGCCGAAUUAAAGCGCCCGUGUUUGACUCCUCCACGCCCUCCUCCACAUUACAAUUAACCGAGGAAGGAAAUCGAUCUCUUGUUGAGUGGUCAAUUCAAUCCACGUUACUGUUGCUGCGAUUCAUGUGGAUGACAAUGUCUUGAAGUGAAUUACUCACUCCAGCUACUCGGAAAACAACUAUCCGACUUCUUUCGAUGAGUAUUCUAGCAUACGACUCCCUCUUCUUCUUCUUCCUCUUCUUCUUCUUCUUCUUACCUGCAGUGAAGGUUGCAAAACUAUCACAUGGGAUGGGAUGGCAGAUACCCAACCGAAGAGACAGAUCCUCACAAGACUAUCCUAUACUCCAAGAUCCAUUAAAUCUAUACGUGAUGAUGUAAUAGAAACUCGUAGUUAAUGGCUUGUAGACAACACUUCCCGUGCAUGAGUUGUAUAGAUUAGACAGUCAUGUCAACAGGAUAAGCUCGUCUGACCAGGUAUCGAGCUUACAGCUCUUCCUCAAAGAAUGACUGCUAUUCCUUGUCCAUCGACGUGCGUGCCGACUACAUGUUCUCUCCACAUCUCGCAUACAAUUGCAUCUAACAUAUUUAAAACUUAGCCAAUAUCUAAAUCCAACAAGUUGCUCGUAUUCAGCAUGUGCUGCACAGUUGCACCUUCCAUCCGCAUCCUCGACGCUGUGCAAGCCGCAACAACGAGAAAGACGAGAGUCGGUCCACCAAUCAUGAAAGAUUCCUUCGAAUUUAAUUCGGAUUAGAUAUGUUUAGGUCCAAGAUGGCAGGAAGGUCAUUAAGCUGGGGCUACGAUUUUUGCUUGCAGACUCUACCAUCCUUCAAUCAUAUUAGAGAUAGAAAACAGCAAACCGGAUGAGUAUUUGUAAGUCAACGAGAACAAUGGGAAUCUAAAUAGGAUACCCGACGAUAUUUCCCGAGCAACAAUAAGAUUGGCUGAUCUGUCAUCACAAAUUAACAAGAUUUGGACAGCUACGGAAGACUUGGUCAGGAAAUCAUUCAAGUUUGUAGUAUCCUGCCUUGCAUAUGUUUCGGGCUCAAGUGUUCUUUAAAUUGACUUACUCCAAGUCGGAGUUGGUGUUACAUCCUCCUCUUGAUUGUCUAUAUAUAUAGAUAUAUCCGUGAUAUAACCAAUGCAAAUUGCUAACCCAAGAAUCUUGUUCUCGUAUUGACUCCGACAACGCCAUGGCCAGCGACCAGACACCUCCGGCCACCGCCGACGCCCCGAUCUCAACCCCUCCGCCGUCUUUCGGGAAGCGGGUCACCGUUCUCUGCAUCGAUGGAGGCGGGGUGCGAGGAUUGAUCCCCGCCACCAUCAUCGCCUUCCUCGAAGCCGAGCUCCAAGUAAGCACGGUGACCUGGUUUUCAGUGUGGCUUUCGGCGACUACAAGCUGCUCCAACUUAAAUUCUGUUUUGUUCUUGGUGCUGUUGCAGAAGCUGGAUGGACCGGAGGCGAGGAUAGCAGACUACUUCGAUGUGAUCGCCGGAACCAGCACCGGCGGCCUCGUGACCGCCAUGCUUACAGCUCCUAACAAGGAGAAGAGGCCUCUGUUUGCUGCCAAGGACAUCGUCCAGUUCUAUCUGGACAACAGCCCCAAGAUUUUUCCUCAGAAGAAGUUAGUAUUCCAUCGUAACACCAUCGAUGGUGGCACUAGUUUGCAUGCAUGCAUUGAUGGAUGGAAGACGGAGUCAUGAUAAAGCUAUUGUGAUCAUCGAUUCUGUCUAUUGCAUCCAAAACAUCAAUUACUUGCUGCUACAUGAUUGUUAAUCACAAGGAGCAUACGAUUAAGACUGAUACAGAUUUGGUUGCAGUGCUGGUUUGUUCAACUCGGCACUGAACCUUGUAGGUGCCGUCUCUGGACCCAAGUACGAUGGCAAGUAUCUCCACGCCAUAAUCCGACAACUGUUGGGCGACACAAGACUUAGUCAAACAUUAACCAACGUCGUCAUCCCUACCUUCGACAUCAAGUUUUUGCAGCCCACCAUCUUCUCCACGUACCAGGUACUGUUAACUCUCCGUCCGAACCAGCAGCCGCUUUCGGGUUCACUAAUCAUGAGUGGCUCGUUUCAUCCGUAAACGCAGACAAAGAGUACACCAUUGAAGGACGCUCUUCUGUCGGACAUAUGCAUCGGCACAUCUGCAGCACCAACCUAUCUUCCUGGACAUUAUUUUGAGACCAAAGAUGAUAACGGGAAUAAGAGGAGCUUCAAUCUCGUCGAUGGUGGUGUGGCGGCAAACAAUCCAGUAAGUUUAGACACCUAAAUCGUAUGUCUAUCUUGUCAUCAUUGUACUGACAUACGGGACGACAGACUUUGACAGCCAUGACGGAAGUCUCCAAGGAGAUCCUCCUGAGCAAUCCAGAUUUCUUCUCGUACCAGCCGGUGGAGUAUGAUAGGUUUUUGGUCAUCUCUCUGGGAACGGGAGCACCCAAGCAAGAGGAGAAGUUUACCGCUCAGGAGAGUGCAAAGUGGGGCGUGCUCGGGUGGUUGUUGAACAAGGGCACGACUCCUUUGAUCGAUAUUUUUACUCAGGCGAGCGCAGACAUGGUGGACAUCCACGCAUCCGUCCUUUUCCAAGCCCUCAACAAAGGGAAGAACUACCUACGCAUAGAGGUAACGCAUCACCACCACCAACCUUCGAAGGCUGUAACGGAGGAAUCAUGUGAAUCGAGUUUCUAAUGUUCACGUGAACAGGAUGAUACUUUGACCGGACAAACAUCAUCGGUGGACGUCUCGACGAAGAAGAACUUGCAAGAUCUGGUUGACAUCGGCAAUAGCCUCCUCAAGAAGCCGGUGUCGAGGGUGAACAUAGAGACGGGUCAUUCCGAGGCGGUGGACGGGGAGGGAACCAACGAGGCCGCUCUUACUGGCUUCGCCAAGAAGCUGUCGGACGAGAAGCGGCGCAGGCAAUCCAAACAACUUACUUCUUCCGACGCCACGCAGCACUAGUCUCGGUCGUAUGUUUGCGUUCAAUAACCUCGGUCGUAUUUGUGUGUUCAAUAAUCUCCAUGAGAAAUCCAUUCUUGAAU
RNAcentral lists this long non-coding RNA (40737 nucleotides) under Musa acuminata (dwarf banana). Its description in RNAcentral is "long non-coding RNA (MACU_LNC000997)". The record is from RNAcentral. Lineage: Eukaryota; Viridiplantae; Streptophyta; Magnoliopsida; Zingiberales; Musaceae.